GUGCCAGCAGCCGCGGUAAUACGUAGGUGGCGAGCGUUGUCCGGAUUUAUUGGGCGUAAAGCGCGCGCAGGCGGUGCCGCAAGUCCGGUGUGAAAGCGCCCGGCUCAACUGGGCGAGGUCAUUGGAGACUGCGGUGCUGGAGGGUGGCAGAGGCCGGUGGAAUUCCCGGUGUAGUGGUGAAAUGCGUAGAGAUCGGGAGGAACACCAGUGGCGAAGGCGGCCGGCUGGGCCAUACCUGACGCUGAGGCGCGAAAGCGUGGGGAGCGAACCGGAUUAGAAACCCCCGUAGUCC
RNAcentral lists this ribosomal RNA (292 nucleotides) under uncultured bacterium. RNAcentral's name for it is "partial 16S ribosomal RNA". It matches the Rfam family "Bacterial small subunit ribosomal RNA", at positions 505 to 796 of the family's 1533-position model. The record is from RNAcentral.